CUAGCUUUUUCAGCUUUUAACCUUUCGAUUUGUCUCACCCUGUCAGCCAACUGUGACAUGUCUCGAAGGUAUUGGGUAUCCAAUUUCUUUCGAAUAGAAUAAUCUAACCCACCAGCAGCCAUUUCCACUAGCUCGUGUUCAGGCACUUGAGUAAAGCACCUGGACUUCAGCAAACGAAACCUAUUUAAAUAGUCAUCAAUUGACUCUUGGUUUUUCCUUUUUACACUGGCUAACUCUUUCAG
RNAcentral lists this long non-coding RNA (242 nucleotides) under Trifolium pratense (red clover). RNAcentral describes it as "long non-coding RNA (TPRA_LNC008121)". The record is from RNAcentral. Lineage: Eukaryota; Viridiplantae; Streptophyta; Magnoliopsida; Fabales; Fabaceae.